AACGUCCGGAAACGGGCGCUAAUACCGCAUACGUCCUACGGGAGAAAGCAGGGGACCUUCGGGCCUUGCGCUAUCAGAUGAGCCUAGGUCGGAUUAGCUUGUUGGUGAGGUAAAGGCUCACCAAGGCGACGAUCCGUAACUGGUCUGAGAGGAUGAUCAGUCACACUGGAACUGAGACACGGUCCAGACUCCUACGGGAGGCAGCAGUGGGGAAUAUUGGACAAUGGGCGAAAGCCUGAUACCAGCCAUUGCCGCGUGUGUGAAGAAGGUCUUCUGGAUUGUAAAGCACUUUAAGUUGGGAGGAAGGGUUGUAGAUUAAUACUCUGCAAUUUUGACGUUACCGACAGAAUAAGCACCGGCUAACUUCGUGCCAGCAGCCGCGGUAAUACGAAGGGUGCAAGCGUUAAUCGGAAUUACUGGGCGUAAAGCGCGCGUAGGUGGUUUGUUAAGUUGGAAGUGAAAGCCCCGGGCUCAACCUGGGAACUGCUUUCAAAACUGGCAAGCUAGGAGUAUGGCAGAGGGUGGUGGAAUUUCCUGUGUAGCGGUGAAAUGCGUAGAUAUAGGAAGGAACACCAGUGGCGAAGGCGACCACCUGGGCUAAUACUGACACUGAGGUGCGAAAGCGUGUGGAGCAAACAGGAUUAGAUACUCUGGUAGUCCACGCCGUAAACGAUGUCAACUACCCGUUGGGAUCCUGUGAGAUCUUAGUGGCGCAGCUAACGCAUUAAGUUGACCGCCUGCGGAGUACGGCCGCAAGGUUAUAACUCCAAUGAAUUGACGGUGGCCCGCACAAGCGGUGGAG
This 802-nucleotide ribosomal RNA is filed under the name Stutzerimonas stutzeri. Its description in RNAcentral is "bacterial SSU rRNA". It matches the Rfam family "Bacterial small subunit ribosomal RNA", at positions 145 to 937 of the family's 1533-position model. The record is from RNAcentral. Lineage: Bacteria; Pseudomonadati; Pseudomonadota; Gammaproteobacteria; Pseudomonadales; Pseudomonadaceae.